RNAcentral lists this microRNA (21 nucleotides) under Human alphaherpesvirus 2. RNAcentral describes it as "hsv2-miR-H23-3p". Its record names the gene hsv2-miR-H23-3p. The record is from miRBase by way of RNAcentral. Lineage: Duplodnaviria; Heunggongvirae; Peploviricota; Herviviricetes; Herpesvirales; Orthoherpesviridae.
ACGAGCUUCGCGGUACUACUC